Nilaparvata lugens (brown planthopper) is the source of this 718-nucleotide long non-coding RNA. RefSeq lists it as uncharacterized. The transcript has 3 exons. Lineage: Eukaryota; Metazoa; Arthropoda; Insecta; Hemiptera; Delphacidae. The record is from RefSeq and is a predicted model, not a curated record.
CACGUGAAUUGCUUGGAGUGUGGUGGUGUCAACACCUGUACAGUUACAAGGACACUUACCAAGGUCCACCUCACGGUCGAAUUAGUCCACCAUCCGACGAUGCCAAACAAUGAGAGUGGCAUUUUGGAAGAGUUUGUGACAAAGCCGUGUGAUAUCCCUGUGGUUUUGGAUAUUGAUAAUGUUAAAUACACAUUAAGAGGGUUCGUGGGAUUCUGUGGGAGGACGUCCAGCAUUACAAACAUUGGACACUAUGUGGCAUAUAUGUCAGAAGGUGCAACGAGCCAUGGGAGCUGUAUGAUGACACCAAAGAGUCAAAGAUGUCUGUUUCCCAGAACAAACCAGUUCCGUGUCAACUUCUAAUAUAUACAAUUUUAUACCAGUGGAAACUGCAUGACCAGUCCUCACGAUCAUCUACAAGACUGCACUAAGAGCACUGAGCACUAUACAAACUAUCAUUAUUAGGUAGAACCGAAAAGACAGGUGAAAUUAUAUCAUUGAAAAUUGGAAAAUACUGUUGCUGUUUAGAAUAUGAGAACAGUUUAAGUUGAAAAUGUAUAAAGGUAGUUCAAAUAUUUCUGUAUCAUUUAUGUUAAGAUAGUUUGCGAUUUUCAUUCAUUGCAAAUAAGGAUGUUUUUUCUAUUCUUCUUUCUGUUUGCAGAAUGUGAACAAUUAAUUUUGAUUUUAUAAAGGUAGUUUAAAUAUUAAUUUGUGUAUCAUA